Molecule: non-coding RNA, 73 nt
Organism: Dipodomys ordii (Ord's kangaroo rat)
Lineage: Eukaryota; Metazoa; Chordata; Mammalia; Rodentia; Heteromyidae
Source: Rfam
AGGAAGGUGGCUCAGUGAUAGAGUGCUUGCCUUGCAAGCAUGAGGCCCUGGGUUUGAUUCCUCGGCCCCCCUU